CAAGGCUUUACGUCGCUGCUCCUUUCUGCUCUCUGUGUGUUUAACAGUGAGUCAGCUGAACAGACAUGGAACAGGACUCAGAGCCAUUGCCAGAAGGGGUAGAAGGUAUAAGCCACCACGGGGUUUGAUGCCUACUGCUCGAAAAUGUUAUUGCUUCUUAUUUCCAUUUAGGGAGGAAAAAUCUUCAUUGUUAUGGCUUUAGUCGCUGCUUGUGGGGCACACCUGAGGUGCACAGACCUGCUCCCCUCCUGGACAAUGGACAAGAUGUUUUUCCUCAAAGUCACAUGCCCAUCCUGGAGUGCAGCAGGACACUUGUGUUGCUUGGGCAGAGGUGGAGAAAGCCGCUCUUCUUCCACUUCCACCCCCUCCUUCUUUUCAUCUAACAGGAAUACCAUAAUCAGGGAAGUAUGCACAGGCUGUUUUGCAAGGGGUCAAAUCCAUUUGGAUGAAAUUCCAGGGCUUCAAGGUUAACAAUGGCAGGAAGAGAUGUUUUUAAGCUGGCCCACACAGUGCCUUGUUGACAUGUAUGGCCUGCUGCCUCAUGCUGCCCACCCUUGGAAAGCCCUGGCUGCUCCCGACACCAAGGAGAACUGAAAGCUCACUGCAACUGGAGCUAAAGGAAAGAACCCCUUCAUUAAUUAUUAAAUUAUUCUGUGACCAUACUUUUUGCCCAAA
Passer montanus (Eurasian tree sparrow) is the source of this 675-nucleotide long non-coding RNA. RefSeq lists it as uncharacterized. The record is from RefSeq and is a predicted model, not a curated record. The transcript has 3 exons. NCBI's taxonomy places the organism in Eukaryota, Metazoa, Chordata, Aves, Passeriformes, Passeridae.